AACGUAGGAGACAAACGUUAUCCGGAGUUACUGGGCGUAAAGAGCGCGCAGGCGGUCGAUCAAGUCGCGUGUGAAAGCCCCCGGCUCAACUGGGGAGGGUCACGCGAUACUGAUCGACUCGAAGGCAGGAGAGGGUAGUGGAAUUCCCGGUGUAGUGGUGAAAUGCGCAGAUAUCAGGAAGAACACCCGUGGCGAAAGCGGCUCUCUGGAACGGUACUGACGCUGAGACGCGAAAGCGUGGGGAGCGAACAGG
RNAcentral lists this ribosomal RNA (253 nucleotides) under uncultured bacterium. RNAcentral's name for it is "partial 16S ribosomal RNA". It matches the Rfam family "Bacterial small subunit ribosomal RNA", at positions 524 to 776 of the family's 1533-position model. The record is from RNAcentral.